AAUCUCUUCCCCUCUUUAUUUCGACCCUUACUCCCUCGAGCCCGACCUCACUCUCCCGCCUCUCAAAUCUCUCCCUCCCUCCUCUCAAUCUCUCAAUCUCUCCCUCUCUUCAAGAACCCUAAUUUCACUACACUCAAGAACCCUAGUUUCACUACACACUCAAAAGAUUCGAACUCUAUAAACCCUAAUUUAUUAACACUACCGAAGAAGAUUCCAAAUCCAUCUUGAUCUAAAAGUUUGUUCACUUUGAGAGUUUGUUUGUUGACUUUGGGACUUGUAGUGAGGUUCCAAUUUAAUGCUAAUGAUUUAUUGGAAUGGAAAGAUUUUCCAAAAGGGCUCAGAGUCCUGCUGCUUGUACAAGAGACUGAUUUUGCUGCACAAACAAGAUCAAAUCUUGAGGUGAUGGAUUAUAUUGGUCAGAUUUCUAUAAGAUCCCCUUUUCUUCUGAAUAAACAUGGAAAAGUAUUGUUUUGAAUAAACAAAACUCUGGUCCCUGUCAUUUUCAAUCUAGUCUAGCUAAUAUAAAACUCAUCUAAGUACUGGAAUUAGAAUCUUUGAGUUAUUCCACUGGGAUAUAGAAGUUAUCUUUUUUGUAUAUUCCUUAAAGUAAUUGCCCUUUUUUUAAUUAAUAUGCCAGUAUACUACCUAGAACUGAUUGUGACAUUC
This is a long non-coding RNA of Daucus carota subsp. sativus, 666 nucleotides long. RefSeq lists it as uncharacterized. The record is from RefSeq and is a predicted model, not a curated record. Lineage: Eukaryota; Viridiplantae; Streptophyta; Magnoliopsida; Apiales; Apiaceae. The transcript is spliced from 3 exons.